This 253-nucleotide ribosomal RNA is filed under the name uncultured bacterium. RNAcentral's name for it is "partial 16S ribosomal RNA". It matches the Rfam family "Bacterial small subunit ribosomal RNA", at positions 524 to 776 of the family's 1533-position model. The record is from RNAcentral.
UACGAAGGGGGCUAGCGUUGCUCGGAAUCACUGGGCGUAAAGGGCUCGUAGGCGGCCAACUCAGUCAGACGUGAAAUCCCUCGGCUUAACCGGGGAACGGCAUCUGAUACUGGAUGGCUGGAGUUCGGGAGAGGGAUGCGGAAUUCCAGGUGUAGCGGUGAAAUGCGUAGAUAUCUGGAGGAACACCGGUGGCGAAGGCGGCAUCCUGGACCGACACUGACGCUGAGGAGCGAAAGCCAGGGGAGCAAACGGG